Methylomicrobium album BG8 is the source of this 28-nucleotide non-coding RNA. The record is from Rfam. Lineage: Bacteria; Pseudomonadati; Pseudomonadota; Gammaproteobacteria; Methylococcales; Methylococcaceae.
GUUCACUGCCGUACAGGUAGCUUAGAAA